This is a long non-coding RNA of Neltuma alba, 800 nucleotides long. RefSeq lists it as uncharacterized. The transcript is spliced from 4 exons. The record is from RefSeq and is a predicted model, not a curated record. NCBI's taxonomy places the organism in Eukaryota, Viridiplantae, Streptophyta, Magnoliopsida, Fabales, Fabaceae.
GCUCUUCAUAUCUCAAUAAUUUGCAGGUGCAGUUUUCUCUGCUGAGCAUGGGGAGAGAUCAGUUAGAGAUAAAGAAUAUAUGUGAUUCUCUGGGCAUUCGCUUGAUCGCUUAUAGUCCUUUAGGACUUGGUAUGCUUACUGGGAAAUAUUCACCAUCGAAGCUUCCAACCGGGCCUCGGGGCUUGUUGUUCAGACAAAUCCUACCUGGAUUGGAGCCUUUACUGGGUUCCUUGAGUGAGAUUGCUAAAAACGACGCAAAAGCAUGGCGCAAGUAGCGAUAAAUUGGUGUGUGAGCAAAGGGACGAUACCAAUACCAGGAGUGAAGUCAAUAAAACAAGCACGAGAAAAUUUGGGUGCUCUUGGGUGGCGCCUCUCUUCAGAUGAGUUGCUUCAGUUAGAAUUUGCAGCACAGGAGUCUCCUCGCAGCAUGAUCCAGAACAUUUUCCAAACCAGAUAAAUAUUAAAGGGUGAAACGCAGCCUCGAUACAAGAUGAAGACCUCGAAACACUUCCCAUUGGUUGAACGUUUCAAUGGUUAUCCGGACGAGCCAGAUGUUCAGGGAAAAUUAGGUGUUCCAUAUUUUGGUCGCCCUUGCUAAACUUUACUGAAGCACCACAACUGAUUAGAGCGUCAGGGCACUGCAUUGUAAAUGCACGUUAAAAACAUCAUUUGCUGGCUGCCGUGAAGAAUACUUUCGCCACAUCGCCUCUAAGAUGCGAGGAGUGCAAUUUACUUUUAAGUGUUAGAACGAGCCAUUUAAUCUUUCCUAGUAAAUAAUUUAAAAUAUUUGGUUCUCUUUA